This 72-nucleotide transfer RNA is filed under the name marine eukaryotic metagenome. It matches the Rfam family "tRNA". Rfam says of the family: Transfer RNA (tRNA) molecules are approximately 80 nucleotides in length. Their secondary structure includes four short double-helical elements and three loops (D, anti-codon, and T loops). The record is from RNAcentral.
CCGAUGUAGCUCAGUUGGUUAGAGCGUUUCACUCAUAAAGAAAAGGUCACAGGUUCAAUUCCUGUCAUCGGC